UUAGGAGAUUCGGGACCGAUCGUUAGAAAUCAUGUCGAUGGCGUAGACCAUAGCACACAAAAAUGUGGGAAUAAUUUUGAAUUUCUAUUUUAUGGCCUUAAAAUGCCAAAAAAUGUGGGAUGGUCAUGGCAAAGCGAUGACUAUUGUUUAUAAGAUCAUUUUUAUGGGCCCAUAAAAUUUUAGGGAAUUUGGGUUGAUCGCCCGAAUUCAUACAUAUGGACUAUAGCAUAACAAAAUUUGGAAAUCUUCUUGAAUUCCUAUUUAUGCCCUUAAAAUGACAAAAAAAAUAAGGAACGGUCAUGGUGAAGUGAUGACUAUUGUUCAUUAGGUUAAUUUUUAUAUUCGCGCAAAAUUUUAAGAGAUUCGGGAUAGAUCGUCUGAAUUCAUGUAGUUGGCGCGGAUGAUAAUACACGAAAAUUUAAUAAUCGUCUUGAAUUUUAUUUUAUGGCCCAAAAUCACUAAAGCACGCGGAACUAUCACGACAAAGUGAUUACUACUAUUCAUUUAGGUUGUUUUUUAGGGGCCCGUAAAAUUUUAGGAGAUUCGGGGUCGGUCACCCAAAUUUAUGUAGAUAGCAUGGAGUAUAGCACAAGAACAUCUAGGAAUCAUCUUGAAUUCC
Molecule: long non-coding RNA, 619 nt
Filed under: Nicotiana benthamiana
Lineage: Eukaryota; Viridiplantae; Streptophyta; Magnoliopsida; Solanales; Solanaceae
Description: long non-coding RNA (NBEN_LNC038240)
Source: RNAcentral